GAGGUGGCGCCCCUCACGCCCCCUGCGGAGGGGCUGGGUCGGCGUUGAGUCCCACCGCGUUGGGCGGUGACUGGAGAGUGGAGCUCCUUCUCUGAGCCGUCAGAAGAGGCUUCGAGAGCUGGCGGCCACCACCGCGUUUUUGAGAGGGCCCGGAGAAAGCUCACGCUGUUCUGUCUGCGGAGCUUCACGUUCUCCUAAGAAGUGAUCAAUGUGUCUGACUUAAGCCCGUUUCUGGGAAAGCACGUAGGAGCGGCCUGUACCAGAUGGAAAGUAAAAGUUAACUGAGGAGGGAAGGGAUACAGAUCAAUCUAACGUAGCUUUCCGGCUGGUAGCUCUUACCUACAGUUUAGUGAUGCGACCUGACGGGACUGGGUGGCGAGGCCGCGUAGCAAAAUGAACGAUGUAUGUUUUGCACAGGUUAAAGAAAGUUUCUGACGAACCUGAAAUGAGACGGAAUCAGAAGUGACGCAUUAUUUAUUGGAACAACAUGCUGUUAGGGGAAAAUGGAAGGAGGGAAAAAAAACAAUGCGAAAACCCUGGAGUUGAUCACCUGCGAGAACCGUGGUACAAAGGACUUAAGAAAAAGGAAUCAGGGGAAAACCUGGACCCAGAGAGAUGAGAGAACUUAUCCCAUGAAUGAAAUACAGGUUGCUUACAUUGGGGGAAGCCAGCUGCUAUGUCAUGCGGCAGCCCCGUGGAGAAGCCACCAUGAGUGAGCUUGGAAGUAGAUCUUCUGGGGUCCACCAAAAGCCAUGUGAAUGAGCUUGGCAGUAGAGCCACCUCCAGUUGAACCUCAAGGUGACUGCAGCCUUUGCCAACAUCUUGAUUGUAGCCUGGUGAGAAAUCCUGAGCAAGAACCAUCCAGCAGAGGAAACUGAGCCGUAAGCCACAAUGUGCAGGUGGACAUCAAAGAGCCAGUCAGCCCAGGUCACGUGUCCUUCAGCCUGCCUGACUCCAGCGUGGGACCAUCCCAAUAAAUCCACAUUGCUAACUGAGACGACCGCCAAAAAGCACCCUCCUCUGCCUUUCUCCCUCCUCCUCUGGAAGCCAAUCCUCCUCACGGAGCCA
This is a long non-coding RNA of Eubalaena glacialis (North Atlantic right whale), 1068 nucleotides long. RefSeq lists it as uncharacterized. The transcript has 6 exons. Lineage: Eukaryota; Metazoa; Chordata; Mammalia; Artiodactyla; Balaenidae. The record is from RefSeq and is a predicted model, not a curated record.